GGCUUGUAGCUCAGUGGUAGAGUACUUGCCUUGCAUGUGUGAGGCCCUGGGGUCAAUCCUCAGCACCA
This 68-nucleotide transfer RNA is filed under the name Marmota monax (woodchuck). RNAcentral's name for it is "tRNA.Ala". The stretch from base 5 to 65 matches the Rfam family "tRNA", at positions 6 to 65 of the family's 71-position model. Rfam says of the family: Transfer RNA (tRNA) molecules are approximately 80 nucleotides in length. Their secondary structure includes four short double-helical elements and three loops (D, anti-codon, and T loops). Lineage: Eukaryota; Metazoa; Chordata; Mammalia; Rodentia; Sciuridae. The record is from RNAcentral.